UUGCACACACAUACAGAUGUGUAUAUAUAUAUAUAUGUAUAAUUUUAUUUCAAUAUGCUUGGAUUAACUGAACUAUUGAAUUUCAAUCUGUUGUGUUCUUUCCAUUAAAUAGUCUUCCUAUUGAGUUUGUUGGAGCUGAAUGAAAAUGGUGUAUUUAAGGCUGAUCAUAAUCUUUGCCAUCAUGUUUUUCUUAAUAUGGUUUUUCCAGAUUAAAAGCAAUGACAAGAUAAUGCCUGUUGAAAUAUAAAGGUCUUUGCUUUGUGGCUUUGCUGCUAGAGGGGAUGGCUGAGCUGCCCCCCUGGGACACCACAUCACUUGUGUCUCACAGAAUAUUCUGGGCUGGAAGGGACCCACGAGGAUCAUCAAGUCCAACUCUCAAAUUGCCCUGAAAGAGCAGAACUACUCCAGCAGCAAGAUUUGGGGGAUAUCAGACUGUGACAAACCCCAUCCACUCUGUCCUUCAGCAUCAGCAAAGCUCUUAGUUCAUCUGGCACUUUUUAUUGCUCUGGAGUCCCUUUUCUGUCUCCCAGGUGACCUGUGAGAAACCCCAAAAAUGUGAUCCCCACGUGUGCUCCAGUGCAAAGGGGAAUCCUAGAGUGCACUGGUUUGUAGCUUGUUUUUGCUGCAGGAUGAACAAUCCCCUCACCUUCCUCUAUUAGCAAGUCACUGCUCCUAUUUAGAGUUCCAGGAUAUGAGCAAGCCUGCUUGUGUCUUGGAGUGGCAUUUGUAACUCUGUGGUUGUCCUUAUUUCUCUUCAAAUAGAUCAAAAGGCUGACAGGAAGCGCUCAAACAGAAGCACAAGAGUUGCAUGAGCUACUUUUGCAGGCCCAGAUGUGAGAGUGUGGUGAACAAUUUCUUCUGCUAACUUCUGUUUUUCUAGUAGUAAGUUCUUAAUGGCCUUACAAGGUUUUAAAUUGGUCAACCUUACCUUGUUAUCAUCUAACUAUUAGUGUAAUGGAAAGUUUAAAAAUAUAGGUGUGUUAAAGUGUGUGGUAUAUAAGAUCUAAGAAACAUGCAAAAAGAAUCAAUAAUUGUGUGUUUUAUAAUUUAAGAGAAAAUAAUAUUCUCUCAGAUGACUGUGGCUACAAGAAAUGAAGGUCAGCUGUACUUAAGAUCAUUUUUUUCUGAGGCUGCUGUUGCAGGUUUUAAUACCUUUAGUGCCUUCUGAUUAAAGGCAUUUUAUUGUGGAGUGUUUCUAUUAUUUUUUUGUUUCCAGUGAGAGCUUUUUGAUAGAAUCCCUGAAAGAGGACUUGUAUUUGUAGGGAGUCUGAACACAUGGAAUUUGAAUCCUAGUUAAUAGUGAAUUCUCUACAGCAGGAAGGAAAAGCUUAUGAAUAUUUUCCUUGGCUCUGAAAGUGGGAGCUGACACUAGUUUGUAUUGGAGAAUUUUAACUAAUGAUUAUGACAAUACUUAUCUGCUAAUUUGUUUUUCCAUGUCUGGAAUCAGUAUGCUAAAUAUGUGUGAAAUUUUUGGAGCUCAUGCUAAAAUUUCAACUGGCCAAAUACUUAUCUGCAUUUCACUAUUAUUGAAAUAAUGAUAGUAAUAAUAAUAAAUAAUAGUAAACACAGUAACUGUUUCUUUUU
Zonotrichia albicollis (white-throated sparrow) is the source of this 1584-nucleotide long non-coding RNA. The record is from Ensembl. NCBI's taxonomy places the organism in Eukaryota, Metazoa, Chordata, Aves, Passeriformes, Passerellidae.